RNAcentral lists this ribosomal RNA (405 nucleotides) under Brachybacterium sp. RNAcentral describes it as "bacterial SSU rRNA". It matches the Rfam family "Bacterial small subunit ribosomal RNA", at positions 349 to 767 of the family's 1533-position model. Lineage: Bacteria; Bacillati; Actinomycetota; Actinomycetes; Micrococcales; Dermabacteraceae. The record is from RNAcentral.
CAGCAGUGGGGAUAUUGCACAAUGGGCGAAAGCCUGAUGCAGCGACGCCGCGUGAGGGAUGACGGCCUUCGGGUUGUAAACCUCUUUCAGUAGGGAAGAAGCGAGAGUGACGGUACCUGCAGAAAAAGCGCCGGCUAACUACGUGCCAGCAGCCGCGGUAAUACGUAGGGCGCAAGCGUUGUCCGGAAUUAUUGGGCGUAAAGAGCUUGUAGGUGGCUUGUCGCGUCUGCCGUGAAAACCCGAGGCUCAACCUCGGGCGUGCGGUGGGUACGGGCAGGCUAGAGUGUGGUAGGGGAGACUGGAACUCCUGGUGUAGCGGUGGAAUGCGCAGAUAUCAGGAAGAACACCGAUGGCGAAGGCAGAUCUCUGGGCCAUUACUGACACUGAGAAGCGAAAGCAUGGGUA